This 627-nucleotide long non-coding RNA is filed under the name Equus asinus (donkey). Its description in RNAcentral is "lncRNA (ENSEASG00005036307.1)". Lineage: Eukaryota; Metazoa; Chordata; Mammalia; Perissodactyla; Equidae. The record is from RNAcentral.
GUCUCAGUCUCCUCCACAGCUUCUGACGAGAGACAGUCACAGCUUUUGGAACUUCAGAAGUGGGGCCACCUACAGUACCUCCAGACAGUGAAGGAGAACUGGGGACAAAGACAAGGCGCUCUGGGAGCUCAGAAGAAUUGACUAGUUCUACUGAUGAAGAGGAAAAGGAAUAGCGGUGGUUUAAGAUACACACCAGGCCCACCAGAAGCAGUUUGUGUUCAGCUGGCAAGGCUAUCACCUUCAUUGUCCUAUCUCAAAGAUUUUCUGGUCAGUGGAGUUGGAAUGAGAAAAAUCAAUCAGUGCCCUACCAAUGCAUCAUCCAGCAAGACUAAGAAAUCCUCAACUACUGGGACAAGGUGGGAGAAUAUUUCAUUUCUUUACCAGUGUCUGUCCUCUGGCUCAGUGACUCCCAGAACUUGACUCAUCAGAAAACCAGGGAUCCAUGACUCAAUGAGUGAAUACCAUCUUGUCCUGAGUUCCCACAUGCCAUCAUGAUGACCAUCCUAUGCAAUUUGGAAUUUUGGCCCUAAAUGAUCUUUCUCAACAAAUCAGAUGUAGUACAACAUGAAGAAAUGGGAGUUUACCAAGAAAAUUGUGGAACACAAAUACCAGAGACCUGGGUCCUCA